UGGGGAAUAUUGGACAAUGGGGGCAACCCUGAUCCAGCCAUGCCGCGUGAGUGAUGAAGGCCUUCGGGUUGUAAAGCUCUUUUGGCGGGGACGAUGAUGACGGUACCCGCAGAAUAAGCCCCGGCUAACUUCGUGCCAGCAGCCGCGGUAAGACGAAGGGGGCUAGCGUUGUUCGGAAUUACUGGGCGUAAAGCGAGUGUAGGCGGUUGCCGUAGUCAGGUGUGAAAGCCUUGAGCUCAACUCAAGAAAUGCACUUGAUACUGGGUGACUAGAGGACCGGAGAGGAUAGUGGAAUUCCCAGUGUAGUGGUGAAAUACGUAGAGAUUGGGAAGAACACCAGUGGCGAAGGCGGCUAUCUGGACGGUUACUGACGCUAAGACUCGAAAGCGUGGGGAGCAAACAGGAUUAGAUACCCUGGUAGUCCACGCCGUAAACGAUGGGUGCUAGACGUUGGCGAGCUUGCUCGUCAGUGUCGCAGCUAACGCGUUAAGCACCCCGCCUGGGGAGUACGGCCGCAAGGUUGAAACUCAAAGAAUUGACGGGGUCAUAGCUGUUUCCU
Molecule: ribosomal RNA, 559 nt
Filed under: uncultured bacterium
Lineage: Bacteria
Description: partial 16S ribosomal RNA
Rfam family: Bacterial small subunit ribosomal RNA
Source: RNAcentral